GACGAACGCUGGCGGCGUGCUUAACACAUGCAAGUCGAACGGAAAGGCUCCAGCUUGCUGGAGUACUCGAGUGGCGAACGGGUGAGUAACACGUGGGUGAUCUGCCCUGCACUUCGGGAUAAGCCUGGGAAACUGGGUCUAAUACCGGAUAGGCCCGCACUUUGGUGUGUGUGGUGGAAAGGUUUUUCUGGUGUGGGAUGAGCUCGCGGCCUAUCAGUUUGUUGGUGGGGUAAUGGCCUACCAAGACGGCGACGGGUAGCCGGCCUGAGAGGGUGGACGGUCACAUUGGGACUGAGAUACGGCCCAGACUCCUACGGGAGGCAGCAGUGGGGAAUAUUGCACAAUGGGGGAAACCCUGAUGCAGCGACGCCGCGUGGGGGAUGAAGGCCUUCGGGUUGUAAACCUCUUUCAGUAGGGAAGAAGCGAAAGUGACGGUACCUGCAGAAGAAGCACCGGCUAACUACGUG
RNAcentral lists this ribosomal RNA (467 nucleotides) under uncultured bacterium. RNAcentral's name for it is "partial 16S ribosomal RNA". It matches the Rfam family "Bacterial small subunit ribosomal RNA", at positions 28 to 507 of the family's 1533-position model. The record is from RNAcentral.